GGUCAGAAGUGAGAGGGCGCUUGAUCAGGGGGCUGAUCUCCCCCGCUCGCCUGUGCGAUCGGGCUGCUGGCUUC
RNAcentral lists this transfer RNA (74 nucleotides) under Caulifigura coniformis. Its description in RNAcentral is "Planctomycetes bacterium Pan44 tRNA-Ile". Lineage: Bacteria; Pseudomonadati; Planctomycetota; Planctomycetia; Planctomycetales; Planctomycetaceae. The record is from RNAcentral.